RNAcentral lists this ribosomal RNA (598 nucleotides) under Streptococcus mitis. RNAcentral's name for it is "bacterial SSU rRNA". It matches the Rfam family "Bacterial small subunit ribosomal RNA", at positions 112 to 698 of the family's 1533-position model. Lineage: Bacteria; Bacillati; Bacillota; Bacilli; Lactobacillales; Streptococcaceae. The record is from RNAcentral.
AACGCGUAGGUAACCUGCCUGGUAGCGGGGGAUAACUAUUGGAAACGAUAGCUAAUACCGCAUAAUAGUAGAUGUUGCAUGACAUUUGCUUAAAAGGUGCAAUUGCAUCACUACCAGAUGGACCUGCGUUGUAUUAGCUAGUUGGUGAGGUAACGGCUCACCAAGGCGACGAUACAUAGCCGACCUGAGAGGGUGAUCGGCCACACUGGGACUGAGACACGGCCCAGACUCCUACGGGAGGCAGCAGUAGGGAAUCUUCGGCAAUGGACGGAAGUCUGACCGAGCAACGCCGCGUGAGUGAAGAAGGUUUUCGGAUCGUAAAGCUCUGUUGUAAGAGAAGAACGAGUGUGAGAGUGGAAAGUUCACACUGUGACGGUAUCUUACCAGAAAGGGACGGCUAACUACGUGCCAGCAGCCGCGGUAAUACGUAGGUCCCGAGCGUUGUCCGGAUUUAUUGGGCGUAAAGCGAGCGCAGGCGGUUAGAUAAGUCUGAAGUUAAAGGCUGUGGCUUAACCAUAGUACGCUUUGGAAACUGUUUAACUUGAGUGCAAGAGGGGAGAGUGGAAUUCCAUGUGUAGCGGUGAAAUGCGUAGAUAUA